Molecule: ribosomal RNA, 304 nt
Filed under: uncultured bacterium
Lineage: Bacteria
Description: partial 16S ribosomal RNA
Rfam family: Bacterial small subunit ribosomal RNA
Source: RNAcentral
CAGCAGCCGCCGCGGGAAUACGAAGGGGGCUAGCGUUGUUCGGAAUUACUGGGCGUAAAGGGUGCGUAGGCGGCCCCGCAAGUCUCAUGUGAAAUCUUCAGGCUCAACUUGAAGUCUGCAUGGGAAACUGCGGGGCUGGAGUAUGGGAGAGGUGAGUGGAAUUCCUGGUGUAGCGGUGAAAUGCGUAGAUAUCAGGAGGAACACCUGUGGCGAAAGCGGCUCACUGGACCAUAACUGACGCUGAGGCACGAAAGCUAGGGGAGCAAACAGGAUUAGAUACCCCAGUAGUCCCUGUCUCUUAUAC